Molecule: long non-coding RNA, 561 nt
Filed under: Canis lupus familiaris (dog)
Lineage: Eukaryota; Metazoa; Chordata; Mammalia; Carnivora; Canidae
Description: lncRNA (ENSCAFG00845012137.1)
Source: RNAcentral
CUGUGAAUUUUGAGUCCUAGGAGGAGCUUUUAGAAACUGCAGAUCCUGGGGCCCUGUUCCAGCUCAACUGAUGUGGACUCUCCCAGCGUGAGCAAUGGGAAUCCGUCCUCUGAAUGGUUGCCUCUUCCCAUGGCUCGUGUACCCUGCGGUGUGGAGAACUUGGAGGCUGUUGACAAAAUCCAGCUUUGUGGUUUCGUCCGAAGGUGGUUGGAGCAGGUCUGAACUGAUGGAGGGAGCAAGAAUCAAGAUGCAAUGCAGAUUCUGGACUCUGCUUCCUUAGGAACCAGAGAUGGGCCAGCGCUCGAGGGUGAAGGAUUUGUCCUGAAAUCUUCCAGAUCCAGGAAAAACUGGCCACCUUCUCCUGCAACUCCACUUCUGGCCUCUAGAGGGGGCCGCCGGGAGCCAAAGCACAGCAGAGCUCAGCAAGAUGAACUCCCUCUGUGCCCGCCCCCGAGGGAAUGUCCCUGCUGGCAUUUGGAAAGCAGCUGGUUAACAGCGCGAGCGCGGCCUCCCCACCCUCACAAACUUCUCCACGACACAUUGCACCAUAAUUCUCCCUAA